CAGCAGUGAGGAAUAUUGGUCAAUGGACGCAAGUCUGAACCCAGCCAUGCCGCGUGCAGGAAGACGGCUCCUAUGAGUUGUAAACUGCUUUUGUACGAGGGUAAACCCGGAUACGUGUAUCCAGCUGAAAGUACCGUACGAAUAAGGAUCGGCUUAACUCCGUGCCAGCAGCCGCGGUAAUACGGAGGAUCCAAGCGUUAUCCGGAUUUAUUGGGUUUAAAGGGUGCGUAGGCGGUUUGUUAAGUUAGAGGUGAAAUCCCCGUGGCUCAACCACGGAACUGCCUCUGAUACUGGCAGGCUAGAGAAUGGUUGCUGUGGGCGGAAUGUGUGGUGUAGCGGUGAAAUGCUUAGAGAUCACACAGAACACCGAUUGCGAAGGCAGCUCACAAAGCCAUAUCUGACGCUGAGGCACGAAAGCGUGGGGAGCAAACAGGAUUAGAUACCCUGGUAGUCCACGCCGUAAACGAUGAUAACUCGUUGCCGGCGAUAUAAUGUCGGUGACUUAGGGAAAGCGAUAAGUUAUCCACCUGGGGAGUACGUCCGCUUAAUGAAACUCAAAGGAAUUGACGG
This 570-nucleotide ribosomal RNA is filed under the name uncultured bacterium. RNAcentral's name for it is "bacterial SSU rRNA". It matches the Rfam family "Bacterial small subunit ribosomal RNA", at positions 349 to 916 of the family's 1533-position model. The record is from RNAcentral.